GGGCCCGUAGCUCAGCUAGGCAGAGCGGCGGUUCAUAAGCCGAGGCUCCAGUCCUACUAUGGGUCUGUAGACCUCCGUGCGGGGGAUGAUAUAACUGGUGAGACCCGUAGGUCGGGGGUUCAAGUCCCCCCGGGCCCACCA
RNAcentral lists this transfer RNA (141 nucleotides) under Thermoprotei archaeon. RNAcentral's name for it is "tRNA-OTHER". It matches the Rfam family "tRNA". From Rfam's summary of the family: Transfer RNA (tRNA) molecules are approximately 80 nucleotides in length. The record is from RNAcentral. Lineage: Archaea; Thermoproteati; Thermoproteota; Thermoprotei.